RNAcentral lists this ribosomal RNA (466 nucleotides) under uncultured bacterium. Its description in RNAcentral is "partial 16S ribosomal RNA". It matches the Rfam family "Bacterial small subunit ribosomal RNA", at positions 28 to 507 of the family's 1533-position model. The record is from RNAcentral.
GAUGAACGCUGGCGGCGUGCUUAACACAUGCAAGUCGAACGGAAAGGCUCCUGCUUGCAGGGGUACUCGAGUGGCGAACGGGUGAGUAACACGUGGGUGAUCUGCCCUGCACUUCGGGAUAAGCCUGGGAAACUGGGUCUAAUACCGGAUAGGACGAUGGUUUGGAUGCCAUUGUGUAAAGUUUUUUCGGUGUGGGAUGAGCUCGCGGCCUAUCAGCUUGUUGGUGGGGUAAUGGCCUACCAAGGCGUCGACGGGUAGCCGGCCUGAGAGGGUGUACGGCCACAUUGGGACUGAGAUACGGCCCAGACUCCUACGGGAGGCAGCAGUGGGGAAUAUUGCACAAUGGGCGCAAGCCUGAUGCAGCGACGCCGCGUGGGGGAUGACGGCCUUCGGGUUGUAAACUCCUUUCGCUAGGGACGAAGCGCAAGUGACGGUACCUGGAGAAGAAGCACCGGCUAACUACGUG